This 76-nucleotide transfer RNA is filed under the name Bacteriophage sp. RNAcentral describes it as "tRNA-Thr". It matches the Rfam family "tRNA". From Rfam's summary of the family: Transfer RNA (tRNA) molecules are approximately 80 nucleotides in length. The record is from RNAcentral.
GCUGGUGUAGCUCAGUUGGCAGAGCAGCUGCCUUGUAAGCAGCGGGUCGCAGGUUCGAAUCCUGUCAUCAGCUCCA